UAAAUGUUCCUAACGCAGAAAGAAAUGUAUUUAAGAAGUAUAUAUUUCAUAGUUUUCCGAAAGUUAAACCGUUUCAGUACAUUCUAAAAAAAUAUUUGGAGAUUAUCAAGAAAAAGGAUAAGAUAGCAUGUUUCAAGACAUGGAUUAUCUGCUUUUCAUUCACUUGAUAUCCAUAACUUACUGCUUGGUUUCUAAGAAAUUAAUAUACCAUUGAAGUAUAGGACCUCCAAUGUAAGAUCUCUUCCCGGGGCCGCUGGUGAGAAUAUCCAUAAUUUACUGCCCAAGGAUUGAGGGUGGUUGGUUAUUCCAAAGAAAAGCAUAGAGACCAAGGUGUGCCUAAGCAAAGCCUUUUGUCUUGCUGAGUUGCAGGGCUGGAGGAAGGCUUGAAGGGGGUCAUUAAUUCUGGAUAUAGAUUUAUCUAGGGAGCAUAGCUUUCAUUCAAAAUAUAUGUUGGUAUGAACUCCAUGCAUGAGGAAAGGAGUUGUGACGUAUAUUAUCAUGCGAUAAUUCGAACAUUAGGCAACUUUUCAUCAACUUGGUAUAUGUUAAAGCAGACUACCAUGAUAGAAUGGGAGUCUCUUAGACACGGAGAAAUAGGUGCAAUUUUUCACAAAAUGAUUGAGGCUUCUGGAACGAUGCAUGCAGACUUAGUGAUUUCAUUUAUGUUGGACAAG
RNAcentral lists this long non-coding RNA (674 nucleotides) under Phoenix dactylifera (date palm). RNAcentral describes it as "long non-coding RNA (PDAC_LNC019068)". Lineage: Eukaryota; Viridiplantae; Streptophyta; Magnoliopsida; Arecales; Arecaceae. The record is from RNAcentral.